UACGAAGGGGGCUAGCGUUGCUCGGAAUUACUGGGCGUAAAGGGCGCGUAGGCGGAUGUUUAAGUCAGAGGUGAAAGCCCAGGGCUCAACCUUGGAACUGCCUUUGAUACUGGGCAUCUUGAGUAUGGGAGAGGUGAGUGGAACUCCGAGUGUAGAGGUGAAAUUCGUAGAUAUUGGGAAGAACACCGGUGGCGAAGGCGGCUCACUGGCCAGUUUCUGACGC
RNAcentral lists this ribosomal RNA (223 nucleotides) under uncultured bacterium. Its description in RNAcentral is "partial 16S ribosomal RNA". It matches the Rfam family "Bacterial small subunit ribosomal RNA", at positions 524 to 746 of the family's 1533-position model. The record is from RNAcentral.